CCUACGGGAGGCAGCAGUGAGGAAUAUUGGUCAAUGGUCGGGAGACUGAACCAGCCAAGCCGCGUGAGGGAUGAAGGUACAGAGUAUCGUAAACCUCUUUUGUCAGGGAACAAAGGCGGGGACGUGUCCCCGGAUGAGUGUACCUGAAGAAAAAGCAUCGGCUAACUCCGUGCCAGCAGCCGCGGUAAUACGGAGGAUGCGAGCGUUAUCCGGAUUUAUUGGGUUUAAAGGGUGCGCAGGCGGUCUGUUAAGUCAGAGGUAAAAGCCCGGGGCUCAACCCCGGCCCGCCGUUGAAACUGGCAGUCUCGAGUUGGAGAGAAGUAUGCGGAAUGCGCGGUGUAGCGGUGAAAUGCAUAGAUAUCGCGCAGAACUCCGAUUGCGAAGGCAGCAUGCCGGCUCCACACUGACGCUGAGGCACGAAAGCGUGGGUAUCGAACAGGAUUAGAUACGUGGGUAGUC
RNAcentral lists this ribosomal RNA (459 nucleotides) under uncultured bacterium. RNAcentral's name for it is "partial 16S ribosomal RNA". It matches the Rfam family "Bacterial small subunit ribosomal RNA", at positions 338 to 795 of the family's 1533-position model. The record is from RNAcentral.